RNAcentral lists this ribosomal RNA (2904 nucleotides) under Escherichia coli. Its description in RNAcentral is "23S ribosomal RNA". It matches the Rfam family "Bacterial large subunit ribosomal RNA". The record is from RNAcentral. Lineage: Bacteria; Pseudomonadati; Pseudomonadota; Gammaproteobacteria; Enterobacterales; Enterobacteriaceae. RNAcentral also lists the same sequence under 1 other name.
GGUUAAGCGACUAAGCGUACACGGUGGAUGCCCUGGCAGUCAGAGGCGAUGAAGGACGUGCUAAUCUGCGAUAAGCGUCGGUAAGGUGAUAUGAACCGUUAUAACCGGCGAUUUCCGAAUGGGGAAACCCAGUGUGUUUCGACACACUAUCAUUAACUGAAUCCAUAGGUUAAUGAGGCGAACCGGGGGAACUGAAACAUCUAAGUACCCCGAGGAAAAGAAAUCAACCGAGAUUCCCCCAGUAGCGGCGAGCGAACGGGGAGCAGCCCAGAGCCUGAAUCAGUGUGUGUGUUAGUGGAAGCGUCUGGAAAGGCGCGCGAUACAGGGUGACAGCCCCGUACACAAAAAUGCACAUGCUGUGAGCUCGAUGAGUAGGGCGGGACACGUGGUAUCCUGUCUGAAUAUGGGGGGACCAUCCUCCAAGGCUAAAUACUCCUGACUGACCGAUAGUGAACCAGUACCGUGAGGGAAAGGCGAAAAGAACCCCGGCGAGGGGAGUGAAAAAGAACCUGAAACCGUGUACGUACAAGCAGUGGGAGCACGCUUAGGCGUGUGACUGCGUACCUUUUGUAUAAUGGGUCAGCGACUUAUAUUCUGUAGCAAGGUUAACCGAAUAGGGGAGCCGAAGGGAAACCGAGUCUUAACUGGGCGUUAAGUUGCAGGGUAUAGACCCGAAACCCGGUGAUCUAGCCAUGGGCAGGUUGAAGGUUGGGUAACACUAACUGGAGGACCGAACCGACUAAUGUUGAAAAAUUAGCGGAUGACUUGUGGCUGGGGGUGAAAGGCCAAUCAAACCGGGAGAUAGCUGGUUCUCCCCGAAAGCUAUUUAGGUAGCGCCUCGUGAAUUCAUCUCCGGGGGUAGAGCACUGUUUCGGCAAGGGGGUCAUCCCGACUUACCAACCCGAUGCAAACUGCGAAUACCGGAGAAUGUUAUCACGGGAGACACACGGCGGGUGCUAACGUCCGUCGUGAAGAGGGAAACAACCCAGACCGCCAGCUAAGGUCCCAAAGUCAUGGUUAAGUGGGAAACGAUGUGGGAAGGCCCAGACAGCCAGGAUGUUGGCUUAGAAGCAGCCAUCAUUUAAAGAAAGCGUAAUAGCUCACUGGUCGAGUCGGCCUGCGCGGAAGAUGUAACGGGGCUAAACCAUGCACCGAAGCUGCGGCAGCGACGCUUAUGCGUUGUUGGGUAGGGGAGCGUUCUGUAAGCCUGUGAAGGUGUGCUGUGAGGCAUGCUGGAGGUAUCAGAAGUGCGAAUGCUGACAUAAGUAACGAUAAAGCGGGUGAAAAGCCCGCUCGCCGGAAGACCAAGGGUUCCUGUCCAACGUUAAUCGGGGCAGGGUGAGUCGACCCCUAAGGCGAGGCCGAAAGGCGUAGUCGAUGGGAAACAGGUUAAUAUUCCUGUACUUGGUGUUACUGCGAAGGGGGGACGGAGAAGGCUAUGUUGGCCGGGCGACGGUUGUCCCGGUUUAAGCGUGUAGGCUGGUUUUCCAGGCAAAUCCGGAAAAUCAAGGCUGAGGCGUGAUGACGAGGCACUACGGUGCUGAAGCAACAAAUGCCCUGCUUCCAGGAAAAGCCUCUAAGCAUCAGGUAACAUCAAAUCGUACCCCAAACCGACACAGGUGGUCAGGUAGAGAAUACCAAGGCGCUUGAGAGAACUCGGGUGAAGGAACUAGGCAAAAUGGUGCCGUAACUUCGGGAGAAGGCACGCUGAUAUGUAGGUGAAGUCCCUCGCGGAUGGAGCUGAAAUCAGUCGAAGAUACCAGCUGGCUGCAACUGUUUAUUAAAAACACAGCACUGUGCAAACACGAAAGUGGACGUAUACGGUGUGACGCCUGCCCGGUGCCGGAAGGUUAAUUGAUGGGGUUAGCGCAAGCGAAGCUCUUGAUCGAAGCCCCGGUAAACGGCGGCCGUAACUAUAACGGUCCUAAGGUAGCGAAAUUCCUUGUCGGGUAAGUUCCGACCUGCACGAAUGGCGUAAUGAUGGCCAGGCUGUCUCCACCCGAGACUCAGUGAAAUUGAACUCGCUGUGAAGAUGCAGUGUACCCGCGGCAAGACGGAAAGACCCCGUGAACCUUUACUAUAGCUUGACACUGAACAUUGAGCCUUGAUGUGUAGGAUAGGUGGGAGGCUUAGAAGUGUGGACGCCAGUCUGCAUGGAGCCGACCUUGAAAUACCACCCUUUAAUGUUUGAUGUUCUAACGUUGACCCGUAAUCCGGGUUGCGGACAGUGUCUGGUGGGUAGUUUGACUGGGGCGGUCUCCUCCUAAAGAGUAACGGAGGAGCACGAAGGUUGGCUAAUCCUGGUCGGACAUCAGGAGGUUAGUGCAAUGGCAUAAGCCAGCUUGACUGCGAGCGUGACGGCGCGAGCAGGUGCGAAAGCAGGUCAUAGUGAUCCGGUGGUUCUGAAUGGAAGGGCCAUCGCUCAACGGAUAAAAGGUACUCCGGGGAUAACAGGCUGAUACCGCCCAAGAGUUCAUAUCGACGGCGGUGUUUGGCACCUCGAUGUCGGCUCAUCACAUCCUGGGGCUGAAGUAGGUCCCAAGGGUAUGGCUGUUCGCCAUUUAAAGUGGUACGCGAGCUGGGUUUAGAACGUCGUGAGACAGUUCGGUCCCUAUCUGCCGUGGGCGCUGGAGAACUGAGGGGGGCUGCUCCUAGUACGAGAGGACCGGAGUGGACGCAUCACUGGUGUUCGGGUUGUCAUGCCAAUGGCACUGCCCGGUAGCUAAAUGCGGAAGAGAUAAGUGCUGAAAGCAUCUAAGCACGAAACUUGCCCCGAGAUGAGUUCUCCCUGACUCCUUGAGAGUCCUGAAGGAACGUUGAAGACGACGACGUUGAUAGGCCGGGUGUGUAAGCGCAGCGAUGCGUUGAGCUAACCGGUACUAAUGAACCGUGAGGCUUAACCUU